AACGGAGAAUCAGGGUUCGAUUCCGGAGAAGGAGCUUGAGAAUUGGCUACUACAUCUAAGGAAGGCAGCAGGCGCGCAAAUGACCCAAUCCCGAUUCGGGGAGGUAGUGACAAAAAAUAACAAUACCGGGCCUUUUUGGGCUUGGUAAUUGGAAUGAGGGAGAGUUAAACGGACCAUCGAGUAUCCAUUGGAGGGCAAGUCUGGUGCCAGCAGCUGCGGUAAUACCAGCUCCAAUAGCGUAUAUUAAAGUUGUUGCAGUUAAAAAGCUCGUAGUUGGACUUGUGUGCGCUGUCCGCGGGUGGCCUGCGCCCAAAAGGGCGUUUCGGUUCGGCCCCGGUGGCGCCUUGAAAUCUGCAGCUGGGGGGACGUUGGCCUUAACUGGUCGGCGACCGCACGCCGGCUGCUCGGUUACUGUGAGAAAAUUAGAGUGUUCAAGGCAGGCAUUGGGUGCAAUUGAAUACAUUAGCAUGGAAUAAUAAAAUAUGGCUCCUGCCGUAUUUUGUUGGUUUUGACUGGUGGGAGUAAUGAUUGAUAGGGACGGUUGGGGGUGCUAGUAUUGAGCGGCCAGAGGUGAAAUUCAUGGAUUCGCUCAAGACUAACUUAUGCGAAAGCAUUCACCAAGGACGUCCUCUUUAAUCAAGAACGAAAGUUGGGGGAUCGAAGACGAUCAGAUACCGUCGUAGUCUCAACCAUAAACUAUGUCGACUUGGGAUCGGCGGUAGUUUUUUCAUUAAGACACUGUCGGGACCACGGGAGAAAUCAAAGUGUCUGGACUCUGGGGGAAGUAUGGUCGCAAGGCUGAAACUUGAAGGAAUUGACGGAAGGGCACCACCAGGAGUGGAGCCUGCGGCUUAAUUUGACCCAACACGGGGAAACUUACCAGGUCCAGAGAUGUAGAGGAUUGACAGAUUGAAGCUCUUUCUUGAUCACUUCGGUGGUGGUGCAUGGCCGUUCUUAGUUGGUGGAGUGAUUUGUCUGGUUAAUUCCGUUAACGAACGAGACCUCAGCCUGCUAGUGUAGUCGGCUGGAUUGCCUUUGGCGAUCCGUGAUUUCGACUUCUUAGAGGGACAAUCGACUCGCAGUCGAUGGAAGUUUGAGGCAAUAACAGGUCUGUGAUGCCCUUAGAUGUUCUGGGCCGCACGCGCGCUACACUGCUGGGCUCAGCGAGUUUUACUUGGCCGAGAGGCCUGGUUAAUCUUGUGAAAUCCCAGCGUGCUUGGGCUCGCCUCCUGCAACUGAAGGCGCCAACGAGGAAUUCCUAGUAGACGCAGGUCAUCAACCUGCAUCGAUUACGUCCCUGCCCUUUGUACACACCGCCCGUCGUUCCAUAAGAGUGAGGCAUCCGGUGAAUUCUCGGGAGAGCCUGGGCGUGGCCAGCAAUGGUCUGCUCGGGUUUGAACUUGCAUAAACUUGGUGCCUAUGAUUAGGGAAAAGUCGUAACAAGGUU
This 1447-nucleotide ribosomal RNA is filed under the name metagenome. RNAcentral describes it as "SSU rRNA". It matches the Rfam family "Eukaryotic small subunit ribosomal RNA", at positions 360 to 1801 of the family's 1831-position model. The record is from RNAcentral.